UUUUUUUUUUUUUUUUUUUGUGUGCUUGUUGGACAUCAUUUAAUCUCAUUAACACAAGCAAAGCAGAGGCUGAGCAUUAACCCAAGUUUCCAAGUAUUUCUUCUUCCAUGGCCAAGCUUAAUACUACCAAAAUCUAAUUCAACCGGCAGGAAUAUCAAUUAGAUGAUCAUGAAACCCUAUUCAACUUUUAUUAUACACUCCCGAUUCCCCUAUCGGCUUGAAGUCUUUCUUAAGAAAAAGAAAAAGAAAACAAACCAGGCUUAAUUUGUUUGAUGAAACCAUAAAGCUCAAGCAUAAGCUAUAUAUUUCGGAGAAAAUAAUAGUUUGGCUCCCGCGCUAGAUGUACGAAAACAAAAAAUGCACGAGCUAACAAAAAGUCAUUGGAGCCACCAGCCCACCACCAAGAACUUAAGUGACAUAAGUUGUCGGCAAUGUGGAAGGUUAAGAGUUCAAUUCUUACCUCCCAUCAAAUUUGUCACUAUAUAUCGCUGCCUUCAGUGGCUUUCUCUAAUGGUGAUUUAACUUCCACAGACUCUCUCUCCCCUUAGAUUAGGAUAGAUUAUAUUAUAGAAAUAUUAUCAUUGUAAUAAAAAAAAAAAACAGAAAGUCAUUGGCAACCCGCCAAUUAAAGAACGUGCGUAACUAAUUUAUCCGUUAAUAACAAAAUGAAAAGUCAAAAUACACGUUAUACAAUCCACAUGGUUUCAUCUGAUGAUGACAAAUGCAUUAAGUGCUACACAUGUUUCGUGUAACGCGAACAAAGUUUCCUAAAGGUUUCACCAAAGUUUCUGCUUGACAUCAUGGAAUAUGCCCAUUGGCAGCAACCAAAUUUUUAUAUUAAAAAUUUUAUAUUUGCGAAUAAAAUCAAAAAAUGGACCAAGUUACUCAAUUUGAGCUCGAAUUGCUAAGAGAUCAUUGAGUUUGGUCCGUCAGCUAAAUUCGAACCAAGCUCGACUCGCUUAGCAUAUAUAAUGGAGCCUUUGAGAUGUACAUGUAUAAAACUCAAUCAAACUUAGCUUGAUUAAUGAAUAAGUCAAAUUUAAAUACAAUUUUAAACUCCUUAACACAGAUAGACAAGCUUGAGCAUUUGAUUGCUAAUUAGACUCAUUCACACUUCUGUUUCUGAUUUAAGAUUUUUGAAAAUUUUCUGAGAUAAAAGUAAACUAUAAAAAACAUUUCUACAUGAUAUCAAAUUCUCAAGCUUGGGGGCAAGUAAUUUAUAUUAUAAUAACUUCUUACGGUUAAAUUAUUAAUAUAAAUAAAAAUUUUAAAAUUCAUAGAGGGCAAAUGAAAUUGUCAAAUUUGAGAUUGUGUGCAUUGAAUAAUCCGUUGGUCAUGUGAAUGUAAUGUUGUUCAAAAACACAAGAAUUUCCAAGUGUAGAAGUGGAAUAUUAGUCGGCGACAAAUACAACAUCGUGGCUCGAUUGUGACCUGAACUCAUGUUAUAUUAUUUUUGUUAUCCAUUAAAUUUUACGACCAGGCAAGUGUGAAAUGAGGUCCCGAAUCGUAGGAAAGCUCCAAGAGUAAGCAAGAAUUAGACUUGGAUAAAAAGCCACAUCCUAAAAGCUAUGAAUUAAACACGAAGCUUCGGCUUAGAAAAGGUCACCGCGUAACUUGAACCGGCGUUCCACUCCUCCCCUGCCGCUUAUUACUAUAGAUAGAUUGGUACGCAUAUUAUUAUCAUUUUUAUUUAUUAAAUUGAAUGAUAAAACAAAUUAUGGAAGCACAAAUAAUUAAAAAAUGGUGUGUAAAUAAUAUUUUUCAAAAUAAAUAAUUCUAACCGACUUCUACUUGUGCAGUUGUGCUUGUGCUCUAAGGGUUUGAAAAUAGCCAAAUACAGAAAGAUAGCUAUAUUUGGAUAGCAAAUUUUUCCAAAAAAAUUUUUGCUAGCAUCAUAAGCGUAUUUCUCAAUUCACCUUUUUAUAUUCUCAACCGCCUUUUUAUCUCACAUACAUCAUAUCACAAAAAUAUAUUUGCUGAUCAUAACACUCUUCUAUAUGUGUUUGGAAAAUGUUAGAUUGUUUGGGAGAAUUUUUUUGAAAAAGUACCGUAAUACUUUUUCAGUGUAAUAUAUGUGAGAUAAAAAAAAUGGUCGAAAAAUAUAUUAAUCAUUCGAGCAAAUAAUCUCUAUAUUAUAUAUACUGAUAGUGUAUACGCUAUCAUCAUUGAAUCUAUGAUAUACAUGCAAAAGCUAGAGUUCAAAUUCAAAUUUUACAUAAUUAUCAUUCAUCCAAAACUGACAAUAUAUACAUUAUUAAAUGUAGGAAAGAUUAGAGUCCAUUUGGAUUGCUAUUUUUAGGAUUUUUUUUUUGUCAAAAAAUAUACUAUAGUAAUUUGGUAUAUAUAAGAUAAAAAAAUAACUGAAAAAUAUAUUUAUGAAAACAUAAAAAUUUUUCUCCCGAAAAUCACAGUCCAGAAUCUUCUUCCAAACAACACAGAAGUACAUGAAGAAUACAGAGAAUGUCAUUCAUGGUACCAAGGAAAACUCCCAGAAAGUAAAAAAAAAAAAAGUCAAGCAGUCAACCAAUACCUUCAUUCCACGCGUUCUAGGUGGAAGUAAGUAGCAGUCCUAAGUGUUGGCCUGUGAUUAAUCUAUCCAAAUUUUUUCACAAAAAAAAAAAAAAAAAAUGAAGAAGUACUCUUUAGACUUGAGACUUUCCCAGUCCCCACGCGGCCACACUCGUCAGUUAAUUGAAGAUAAAUCUGCCAAAGGUUCUAGAUUUGUUAAACAAACCCCUGAAGGAAAACUAUUACUCUACUGUAGUUUUCCCAGCCACCGACUCAGACCGUUACCUACCUUAUUAGUUUCCAGUUGUAGUCAGCAACCAAAACCUGACGGCUACUCAUUUUACAUUUUUUCCCUUUGAGGCAGGAUAUUUUUUUUUUACCAUAAGCCCGAAGACUUUUCGAGGCAGGAUAUUUGAUUCACACAUAAACACACACACACACACACACACACACACACACACACACACACACAUAUAUAUAUAUAUAUUAUAUAAUAAUAAUAAUACAGUACUAACAAGCUUACUAGAUACACAUUGAUUUCUUAGUUUACAAGGAAACAAUAAAGGGAUCAUGGGAAAGUAUGCAGAAAAUUCACUCCCUCAACUUCAUCACAUACGUACUGCAAUUUCAGUUGUCCACUCCUGCUUUUGUCAUCAACUACUAGAAGCCUACUGCCUUGUAUAUAUAUAACACAACUUCAAACUAUACUCGUCAUAACUUUUAUUAGUCCUGCUUCUGCCAGGGGAAUAUAUGUAUCAUUAGACCUACUCAGUUUCUUGAGCACAUAAAUUAGUACCGCUAUACUAGAUGACCGUAAAGAGAAGCAGAGAAGACAGGAAGGUUGAGGCAUUCGCCAUGGCCAAUUGCUUGAUGCUCCUCUCUAACAUGGCCAAACACUACUUCCUCUCCUCCGUCGUUGGACGCGAGUUUUCACUUGCAAAACGUGUAACAAGCAGUUUUCAUCGUUCCAGGCGCUCGGGGGCCACCGGGCUAGCCACAAAAGGACUAGACUGGUGGCUGCAGAUGGCCUUCAUGAUCAGAAUCACUCACCUGCUAAGCCAAAGACGCAUGAAUGCUCCAUCUGUGGCCUUGAGUUCCCUUUAGGCCAAGCUCUAGGAGGGCAUAUGACGACAGACCACCGUAAUGAUGGUACAGCCGGUGAUAAAUCCGAAGAAACACAGUCAGGUUUCAGAAAUCCAAUAGCCAUAGCGAUAGUCAUAGAGCUUUGCUGUUAGAUUUGAACUUAACCCUCGUGAGAAUGAAUUCAAGUUUGGUAGGUUGGAUUCUUUUAUGUAAAAUUUCCUAACUUUUUCUAGUCAUCGGAGUAGUUCUUUCCCCUUUUUAAUUUUGGAUGCAGCUCUUGUUCAUUCAUUCUCGACACAUGUAUAUACAUACAGAGGCGUAUAGAGAGCUAUUAUUCUGGUGUAGUGGAUACAGUAGACAGUUUGUUUUCUUGUCUGGUGGGGAAUAGCAUUAUCGACUCUUUAUUCUCGAAUCAGACCGAUACUUCUUGAAGUCCUCUAUUUAAUAUUGUUCUUCAAGGGCAGUGCAAAAUACUGAAAACAUCAAUUUCUAUCUUUGUCAAGACUGACUGAAACUGAUGUUGCCACAAUCCAAGAAACUGAAAUUCGAUGACAUAUUUCAAGGAACUCAAAUGAUAUCCAUAAAACAAACAUGGUGUCCCACAAAAUUUUAGCAUCAAAUCGUCGAAUUUCAAGAGCUGAUUUUUAUCUUUAUGGUAAACUACAACUCCUCCCAGUGCUGGGAAGUACAUCUGAUCGAUACACAGAAUCCCAGACACUUUCUUGCUGUUGGAUGACUUGUAACAAGUUCUGUGCUAGCCCCUGAAGGGAGAAAUUUGAACAACAGAAAAUUACUUACAAUUACAUAAGAAUCUCAAUAGCGUAACCAGCAACAACAAAAUUCCCCAAAUGCUUCACAUUGGGCUUGGCAGGCAGGAAUUAUUACGACUUAGGCAAUGCAUCGCUUGAGAAGAACGAUCCUGGUUCAAACUUCAUACGCCUCCUUCUUCGGAAAUUUCUUGGACCAUUUUUCAUGGCAACAUCAUCAUGGUUCCAAUUCCACGUAUUUAAGAAAGAACGAGCCAUUUACUUCUAAGAAAGAAGCCAAGCUUCAGUAAUCGAUAAUUUGACAUCCCAAAUUCUCAGCAGUUUGGGUUGGUAUAAAUUCUUUUUCUUGCUGCAGCCGUUGUAGCCUCUGUUGUUGAUGCAUGUAGUAUGCAUAUGCCUGACAUUUUGGAUCAAGAUUUGCAUAGCAAUGCAUAUGAGAGUGGCCUAGUUGCUCCACGAUUUUCUGCUACACAAGUUUUCACAGAACACGGAAACAAGGGAAACGAAGAUAACAAGUUCAAGUUUUUGACGAAAAAAAAUGAAGAAAAAUAGAAAAAUUAAUAUUUUCGCAGAGCUUGAUUGCAUAUGCACACGAGACAGUGCAUGCCCAAAUUCUCCACAUUGGGCUUGGCGGGCAGAAAUUACUACGGCUUAGGCAAUUCAUCGCUUGAGAAGAACGAUCCUGGUUCAAACUUCAUCCGCCUCCUUCUUCCGAAGUUUCUUGGACCAGUAUUCUUGGCAACAUCAUCAUGGUUCCAAUUCCAAUUCCACGUAGUUAAGAACGAGUCAUCUACUUCUAAGAAAGAAGUCAAUCUCCGGUAAUCGAUAAUUGGAUGUCCCAAAUUCUGAGCAGUCUGGGUUCGCACAAAUUCUUUUUCUUGCUGCAGCCGUUGUAGUUUCUGUUGUUGAUGCAUGUAGUAUGCAUAUGCCUGAGUGUUUGGAUCAAGAUUUGCAUAGUAAGGCACAUGAGAGUAGCCUGGUUGCUCCAUGAUUUUCUGUUAACGCAAGUUUUCACAGAACACGGAAACAAGGGAAACGAAGCAAACAAGUUCAAGUUUUUCGCAGAGCUUGAUUGUAUAUAAAGUUACAGAUGCACGAGACGAUGCCUCUCAUUUCGAUAUGAAUGUGAUCAGGAAUCUUGCAACUAUGGAAUUUGCCAAAAUUUGUGUACUUUCCUAAAGCCGGGGCGAUCUCACGGCCCAUUAGGCCCAGAUUAACUUCUAAUCACAUUAUUAGAAACACCUAACCUAAUACAUGAAUUUCAUACAGAAAUUGGAUUAAUUGUCGAUUGUUGCCCCCUUCUAUUAAAAAUGAAUUUUUAGCGGCUUCAUCCAUCCCUGCCCUGUUGGAUUAGUUUUCAUACAAAAUCGGAUUAAUUGGGAAAAAAAUGGUGGUGGGGGAGCACUUGAGAUUCUCGGUGACAUGUUUUCUAUGCCAACCCAAUGCCACCAAUAAUAUUGUGCCAAGUGUCAUGUUAUUGGGUGCUACUCGCAUCGAAUCGGAAGAGGAGGACGAGGAUGGGGUAGAAAUGGGUUGGCAAGACAGGAGCGGGGAGGAUAAAAAAAUUUUAAAAAAAAAAUAUCUCAAUGAAGUGUUAAAACUUUAAAAUACUCUUACAAUAAAAAGUUUUUUUCAAUAUACAAAGUGAAAGUAAUUUGUUUUUAAAAUGCAUCUCUAAAAAUAUUUCCGUGCUAAUCUUUAUUUAUUUUUUACAAGGAUAGCCACGGGCUCAUCAGCAUGAAUCAUAAUUUUUCAUGAAAAAAUUAUUAUAACAAUUUGAUGUAUGUGAAAGAAAAAAAUUAUAGAAAAAUAUGAUCACGAAAAAUAAUGUAAUUUUCUGAUGAAAAAUUGCAAUCCAAACGAGGCCCGUUUCCUGGUUUUGGGAGAGUUAUUUCCAGGUUUGCUUGCUUGAGGCUAAAACUUUUCUCGCCACAAGUGAAAGUUUGAAAAAUCUUACAUGUGAUCAUUCUAUGAAUACCUUCCAUCGUUUACCUUUUUUGGUCCUAGCAUAUCAAUUGACACGUGUUGAGUAGCGUGAGAGCAAGAAGGGAUCGGAUAGAAUUUGACGGGUCGAGCUUCCAACCUGCAAUGACAGCACAACAAUUAGGGCUGAAUGGGCAAUGACUUCGACGUCAAAGUCAAACGAUGAAGAGUUUGGGAGUUGAAAGAUGAGCCCGGAAGCCGCUGAUGAGAAGUUGUCUGUGGGUGUGAGCACCGAUCUCGCAAAUCGAAAAUGGCAUGACAGCCAUAGGGUCAGACCCUAGGCGCGUAGUAUCUGUAUCUGCCAAGUGUCAGAUUUGGUGUCAAAUGCGGGUGUUGGUCACGUGCUUACGUAAAACGGUUCAGUCGGUCUGAGCACAUCCAAGACUUCGAUAACCGCUUCUAGAACCGGAGGUGGCGACUGAGUGGUUCCAUAAGUAGUACGUUGUUGGCCUAUUUCACAAAUUUUUCAAAUACAAAGUGAUAGGAAUAUACAAACAAAAAUAAUUUUAAAGACACCUAAUUCAUGCAGUGCCUCAAAAAAUAACUUAUAAAUAUACAAAAUAAAAAAAAAUUCUUCCACCUACCACCACCAUCACCACGCCCUCCCUCCUCCUUCUCCCUCUUCUUCCUCCUCCUCGUUCCCUCCCUUCCUUCACUCCGCCAAAUCUAACCUCGACCAAAUCUCAACAAAAAGGUGGCAAAAAUACUCCAAAAUAUAUCCCAAAAACACCUGUAAAAAUACCACCAAAAAUAUCUAUAUCAUCUACAAUAAAAGUUUUUCAUAUAUAUUAUUACAAUAAAAUUUUUCAAAAUUACGUCUAAAAACAAUUAAUCCAUUAAUUGAAAUCUAAUGAAUUUUAAUCACAAUUUGUUGUUUUAAAAAAAAAAUUUCCACAAUAAAAUACUAGACUUUUCAAAUAUCUUAAUAUAAUAUACAUCUUGCACACCUAAUCAACAAGCAAGUUCCUAUGGCGUUUGGCGUUGGCCAGAAAAAUGUAGUCCCUGAUGGGACAAAUCUGAAUACAACAAACCACACGAGAAUAGAAACAAGAGUAGUUCUACAAGUAAGUUACAUAUACGCAAGUCAGUCAAAUGACUCUCGUGAAUUCAUUUUGUGAGAACAACAAGAGCUUAAUUUAUUUACGUAUGCAACUUUAAGUUUCAUCAGUGGUCCGCUAUUGCUCUUUGCACAAAUAUAUUUGGAUGAUGUAAUGAUAAAUACUUGAAAAUGCUGAGCCGGCCGGCCGUGUACUUCAAAAUUUGGAUGACGUAUGGAUAUAGCAACUAGCAACCACUUAAAAUACUACUACUGAAUUUUGCUAAUUUCCCACAAGGACCGAACUGAGCUUAUGUUAGAUAUAAUUUCGCUAGCAAAUCAAAAGUGGGUUCAAGAAGUCACUUCUGAUCAGAAACUUUUCUUUGAUGAAGAGAAGUAUUUCCCAUCAAGGUUUUCGACAUUUACCUUUUUGUUUUAUUAAUAUUAGUUGUCAUUUUCGUCAAUUGGUGCAGCUGAUGCAAUAGCUGAUAUGGUCAACUUCUCACCAUCCUACAACGACGACGUAUGUGGAUUUGAACUGUCAAAAGCAAGCACAACAAAUGGGAUAGUUUCAACUGUCAAAUCAUGUACCAGUUACUACUACUUAUACUAUCACGUAGAAACCGGAAAUAUAUUGGCUAAUUUAAUGAACUCAUGAGAUAUUGGUUAUAGAAUGUUCAUGAUAUAUUGGUUAUAGAAUGUUCGUAGGUACCUGGAAUGUGGGAGGGAAACCAGCAGAGGUUGGAGUGGAUUUGAAAGAUUGGACACAAGCACAUAAUAUCCCUCCUGAUUUAUAUAUUUUUGGGUACGCACUCCUUUUGCUUCUUAUUACUGUUCCCUCCCCCAAAGUUGCUUUAAGAGGAUCUCUUAUGUGAACAAAUCUUUGACUUCAUUCUUGCUUAUGAGCAUUAUCCUGUUUCACCAGUUUCAAAUUUAUCAGUUUCAGCAGUAAGCCUUACUGCAGGAACGUAAAACUGCAGCAGCUUUUUAUAGUAACAUGUGCACUUCAUAUUCCCAUAAGGUACACCUAAUCUGCAUUUAGCAAGAAAACAGAUUUAGUUCCAUACUAGCGAAUCCCUGCUUCGUCCCAGAAGGAUUACACAAGGUGGCCAUGCUUGUGAAAUGUGGAAUCCAGCAAUUUGUGUUCCCUGGAGGAUAGGAGAAAUGCACUAAAAUUUGGUGGAGGGGAAUUUUCAUAUUGAUGAAACAGUUUGAUUCCCAUUUUCUUGUACUAGCAUAGUGAGUACUAUGUAAUUUAAAUUUUCCACGAGAAAGAUUUGUCCACUCACACGCAAAUAAUUCUCCCCUUUAGGUUCCAGGAAAUCGUGCCUCUAAAUGCAGCUAAUGUCUUGGGUGUAGAGGAUGGCAAUCCUGCUGCAAAUUAAGUGGCUGUCCCUAGUUCGCCAGGUUCUAGAUAGUGGUGGGCAAGGAGACCAGGAUGCCGGCCACAACAUUAAAAGCGUAAACAAUUUGUGUCCUAAAUAUGGCCGAAUAGCUGGUGAUAAAUCCAGAAUCUGUUCUUCAGAUAUGUUGUUCCUGAAUGAAUCUAGUCAAAUUAAGCAACAAAGUUCAAGUCCCAAGACAAUUAGCGGGGGCGAACCAGUAUAUAUAUUGUUUGGCAGCCAGCUAGCAGAUGGUUGGCAUAUUGUUAUGUGUAUGGGUUCGAGCUGAAAUUUACCAGCAAGUAACCAACUUAAAGGUAUCUUGCGUGGGUACAGGCAUCAUGGGUUACAUGGGCAACAAGGUUAGCAUAUGCAGUCGAUGCACUUUCUUGCUGAUGAAUAAUGUAAUAACAAAAGAAAGAAAGCAGUUUUGGACCAAGGUAUCCAAGGCAAAAUGGUACUUCUCAAUCACAUCACUAACUUGAACAGCCUCUUAAUUGGCAAUUUGCAGGGAUCUGUGUCUAUCACUAUGACACUGUAUCACACCUCUUUCUGCUUCGUUUGCACACAUUUGGCCUCUGGUGAGAAAGAAAAUGACAGAAUCCAUGAUGUUUUGGAAAUUCUUUGUAGGACAAAUUUUUUGCUCUCCCGAAAGAGUCUUGAAAAACCAUCCUUUCCCGGCCAUAUAUUGGAACAUGAGUAAGUAUUUAUCUUGUGUACGACAAAUAAGCAUACGGUACAGUAGUUUUUCCUGCAAUUUUCCUGAUGUUUUUGUGUGGUGGGAAUUGGUUAUUGUUCGUUGCUGCAAUAUCUUUUGGGUUGGGGAUCUGAAUUACAGAUUGGCAUCUGGCUAUGAUGAUACUCCUGAACUGCUGAAAAAACAUGAAUGGCAGUCCCUUCUUGAAAGAGAUCAGAUGACAAAUUAGAGUGGACUUCGGAAUGUCUAAUUAUCCUCUUCUUAAUUUCUGUUUGAAUCUUGAAUAAGCUUAUCAGUUGGACUGGACUUGCAAUUCUGAUAGCGUUUGCGGUGGCAUUGACAGCUUUUAGUCGAACAGAGAGUUGGAUGAGUUAUUGAAAGAUGGCAAGAGGGACAGAUACAUUUUCUCCCACAUACAAGCAUCUCAUCAACUCUGACACAUUACGUGAAUCAGAUCUUUAAACAUAAGCAAAAAACUCCCUCUCCGCCUGGCAAGUAUUCUAGCCUCUCUAGUCAAUUUUCGUUGAUUUCCUCCAUUGCAUCUUCUGAUAAUUGUUUUCAUUGAUAUCAAGUAAUGGACAGAGUAUUGCUAUUAGUCAAAUUGACAAAGUUAGAGAAAUGUAUCAAAAAGGUGAACCUCCACUGAGAACAAAGCACGGAUACUGGAAGAGUCAUCUUCGAAGGACGAAAUCAUUUGCCACAAAACUAUAUCACAAAUUGGCAUUUGUGCCUUUGUGUGACAUCCUUUCUAUCUGUCACGCUAGUUACGGGACAAGUAAAAUAUGUUCAUGCUAAUGAGAAGAUAAAUUGGCGCACGGCAGUCCCUUCUUGAAAGAGAUCAGAUGACAAAUUAGAGUGGACUUCGGAAUGUCUAUUAUCCUCUUCUUAAUUUCUGUUUGAAUCUUGAAUAAGCUUAUCAGUUGGACUGGACUUGCAAUUCUGAUAGCGUUUGGGUGGCAUUGACAGCUUUUAGUCGAACAGAGAGUUGGAUGAGUUAUUGAAAGAUGGCAAGAGGGACAGAUACAUUUUGCUCCCACAUACAAGCAUCUCAUCAACUCUGACCAUUACGUGAAUCAGAUCUUUAAACAUAAGCAAAAAAACUCCCUCUCCCGCCUGGCAAGUAUUCUAGCCUCUCUAGUCAAUUUUCGUUGAUUUCCUCCAUUGCAUCUUCUGAUAAUUGUUUUCAUUGAUAUCAAGUAAUGGACAGAGUAUUGCUAUUAGUCAAAUUGACAAAGUUAGAGAAAUGUAUCAAAAAAGGUGAACCCUCCACUGAGAACAAAGCACGGAUACUGGAAGAGUCAUCUUCGAAGGACGAAAUCAUUUGCACAAAACUAUAUCACAAAUUGGCAUUUGUGCCUUUGUGGUGACAUCCUUUCUAUCUGUCACGCUAGUUACGGGGACAAGUAAAAUAUGUUCAUGCUAAUGAGAAGAUAAAUUGCGCACUUUUUGUGAUUGGCUAGCUGUGACUGGAUACUAUGGCGAGGUAAAGGAAUGAAGCAGAUAAUUUAUGCAAGGGCAGAAUCAAGAUUCUCGGACCAUAGGCCUGUUUAUUUUAUCUUCUCCUCUGAAAUCGAUACAUGAAGCGCAUCCACAACACACAAGAUCAAAUCCAGCAGGACUUUUAGCUUCGAUUGUGAUGAUAAGUGCUUCAUAAUGCUCAAACAUCUAACCUGGAGGCCGGAGAUUAGUCACUAGCUAGGUAGAGGAACGAUCAAUUUCUUACAGAUCAAAGAAGCUGCUCUUAAGAAACUUAGUGGUUAACAAGGUUUAAUAGAAGAUGAAGAUGGUAUAAAUUAGUGCAAAUGUUUGAAAGAAUGCAGAAAUGAUAUUGCUCUAUCAGCAAUCAAAGCAAGAUGAGUGAUUUGCUGAGGACGGUCAGUCAUUGAGGGUAAACAUCUCCAUACCUAAUGCCAAAGUUGAUUUCCAGCUCGUCCUUGACUCAAACUUCAUUUUACUAUUUUUUAAGAAAGGGAUCUAUUCCUAUCUGUAUCACAAUCGCUUUGACUCAAUCCGUUCUCAAGCUAUGCACUGGCCAUGUGCAGUCGGACUCCAUGCAACAUAAGUUGGAAAUGAAAUUGAUCGCAAGCUCAUGCCCCUUGUGCUCGUUUUUUAUUGAGCACAUUUUUUUUUUUUUGGUAAAUAAUGAUCCAGCAUAGAUUAAAUUGUAAACUAGUUAAUUACAAUAUUCUAGGGAACCAUACUCUCCUCAAAUCCUCCAACAAAAUGGAACUUAAAAAGAGGGCGCCACUAGUCUACAAAUGAGGAAAAGGAUGACAAGUUUUCAUCCCAUAUUUUUGCUAAGAAAUCCGCUGCCCUGUUACCUUCUCUAUAUUAUAUAUGUGCUUCUAACUUCACUUCCAUAAAGCUAGAAAUGAAGGCCCUGCCUGUCACACAGAAUUGAGGAUGCUUCAUGGAGAGUUGGAUUGUAAUAAACGGCACCUAUAUAUGGAGAGUUGGCUAAGGGAACAGGACUUAGCUGCCUUGUGCAUAUAUGGUUUACUAGGGCAUAAUCAUGGAUUGCAUCUUAUAAUCUGUAUACAAAACUGUUCUUGCUAUUGUAGUAAGGCACGCUAAAGCAACACACGCCUUGAUCAACAAAACCUUUAUGAAAAGCUACAGAGUUCGUCAACUAUUUUGUUCCGACUUAGAUACACUAUUAUAUACGCGGCUUGCGUGCCAUGCCAUCAUGCAUCAUCAAGAAAUGUUUUGUCAUUGACUUUUCUUUUCUAAUUUGUUUGAGUUAUCUUGUUUUGUGAACAUUGGUGUCUUCUUUUGUUCUCCUGUGACUUGAUUCAUGCCUUCUUUCCUUUCCGUGUAAAAGAUGCCUGGGUAUGAUGCAAUAUUGAACUUAUCUUGAUUUGAACAAUUAAUUCUUCUGCUUUCGAGGUUUUUGACUAGAAAAGUAGAGCCCAUAACGAAUUAACGAUUAUUCACAAAAUUUAUAAUAAUAAUAAUAAUAAAAGAAUCCAAAAGCUACACAUAGUUGAUGAUCCAAGGCUUCAAAGUGCUGACUUUGAUAUGGCUUUGCCGUUAAUUAACAUUCUAUACGUUCGGGAUGACGGUCUGUCCCAUCAGUAUGACGAGAUGUGUGCUGUUCUACAUGUGUUCUUGUUCUUGACAAAUUAGUCAUCACGUGAUGAAGUCAAAAGCUUUUAUCCAUGGAACUCUAGAAACUUUUGUCCAUCAAAUUCUGUGGUCUCAUCCGAGAAACAAAAGAUUUAGUAGAAUCUAGUCCGUCAGCUUUAUGAGGUAAUAAGAAAUACCAUACUUUGAUUAAGUCGUUUUAAGAACAGAACUAUCUCUAUAUAUUUGCUUAUGGCAAAACUUCCCUCUUCAAAAGAGAUUCGUUUAACCUCCACUUUCUUCACACACUUUCUGUUCUUUCGCAGCAAACAUAAUAUUUUUUCCCUCGCACUUGUCUGUCAAUAAUCAAUCAAUCAAUAUACAGCAGAAGCAGUUUUGGUUUCUCUUUUUCAUAGGAAUACUAGGCGUUCCAAUGGAGCUGAUUCCUGGCCUUCCAAAUGAUGUAGCCAUCGAGUGCCUUAUUCGAGUCCCAUUCAGCCAAAUAUCAAAGGCUGCAUCUGUUUCCAAGAAUUGGAAGGCAGAAAUUCAGCUGCCAGAAUUUCGGCAGCGAAGGAAGGCUGCUGGAUUUACCCAACCCCUCAUCGCGAUGACACGAGCAGAUAGCAACCUGAAUGAGCAUAUCCGCGAUGAUGAUGACGGCGGUGCUAGACGCUUACAUCAUUACCUGCUCAAAAUCUGUGAUCCUGAACGACGCUUUUCGUACGAGGUGCCUUCGAUCCCAGGACUCUCCAAGGGUGUGCCGAUGUUUUGCCAAGUUGCAGGAGUCGGGACAAACCUGGUAGUGAUUGGCGGGUAUGACCCGGUUUCUUGGAAAACCUUGAAUUCAGUCUUUAUUUACGAUUUCCUGACCGCCACGUGGCGAGAUGGGGCUGCUAUGCCAGGUGGACAGAGAUCAUUCUUUGGCAGUGCUUCUGAUGGUGAUCAUAGGAUCCUCGUUGCAGGUGGACAUGAUGGCAACAAAAACGCACUUGCAUCUGCGCUGAUGUAUGACGUGGCCAAGAAUGAGUGGGUCGUGUUGCGUGACAUGGCGAGAGAGCGUGACGAAUGCAAGUGCAUUUUCCACCGUGGCAGAUUCCAUGUCGUUGGUGGUUACUGCACGGAUCGGCAAGGGGAUUUUGAGAGCAGUGCAGAGGCACUCGAGCUUGAUGAUGUUGACGGCUGGAAGUGGGAUGAGUUAGAAAACAUCCAUGAAAUGGAUCUAGCGUUGACCAAAAUAGAGGUUCCCGGCGGGCAUUCGGACACCGUUCAUGUUCAGUCUUGUUGCUAUUUGGAGGUUUGAGGUAUACUUUUCAUCUGUAACAUGCAGUUUGUUUGUACUAGAGUACGUUGACAAGGCAUAACUAGGAAUGUAAAUAAGGUUUAGUCAGGCAAAGUUCGUUGGAUCCAAGAAAUUUGGAGCUGAACUUUUUUGUUUUUUUUUUUUUGGCGGGGGGGGGGGGGGGUGGGGGUUGGGAAUUGAGCGGGUAGGCUCAAUUAAAUUAUGAUCAUAGCUUGAGCUUCAUUAGGUUUAGCUGAUUAGAUGAGUGAAUUUAAUUUGUGAGAACAAAAAGAACUUUGUAUAUGUAGUAUUAAUGGUUUCAACUUUGUAUACGUAGUAUUAAUGGUUUCAAUUAUAUGUAGUAUUAAUGGCACAAUACAUAUUCGAAAGUUUCUUAAGUUUCUCCUUCUUAUUUUUUUGUUUCCGACUUGGUCCUCUUGGUUUUGCAGUAAGUUCCUGUUUAUAUGAAAAAGUGGCGUUUGGUAAAAGGGUUUCGGAAUGGGAAAUUGGAAUAAACCCAUGAUUCAUGUUUGGUUCACUAUUAUCGAAAUUGAAAUUUUGGAAUGAUAUCUAAAAAUUUAGCAUUCCACCAUUCCUUAGUAAGUUGGUGGGUUUUGUCCAAAACCCAAGUGUGAUUCCAAAAUCUUAUAAUUACAUAAUAUUUAGUAUAAUUAAUAUAUAUAUUAUAUAUUUAUAUUUAUAUUAUAAUAUAUAGAAUAUAUUAUAAUUAUAAUAUUUUAUUAUAAUUAUAUAAUUUAUUAUAAUAUUAGUAUAUUAUAUAAAUAUAUAUUAUAAUUAUUUAGUUAAAUAUAAAUAUAUUUAUAUAAUAUAUAUUAUAAAAUUAUUAAUAUUAUAUAAUAAUAUAUUUAUAAUAUAUAUGUAUAUUUAUAAAUGUAUAUUAUAUGUGCAUAUAAUUAUAAUAUAUAAUGUAUGUAAUAUUAAUAAGUUAUAUAAUUAUAAUUAUAAUUAUUAUUUUAAAUAUAAUAAUAUAUAAUAAUAACUACAUUUAAUAAUAAUAUGCAUUAUAUUUAUACAAAAUAUUAGUACAAUUAAUAUUUAUAUAUUAUAUAAUUAUAUAUUUAUAUUUAUAUUAAUAUGCAUUAUAUUUAUAUAAAAUAUUAGUACAAUUAAUAUUUAUACAUUAUAUAAUUAUAAUUAUAUAUUUAUAUUAUAACAUUUGUAUAAUUAUAAUUAAUUAUAUAUAUAAUAUUUAAUUUAAUUAGUUACAAACUUAUAAUAAUGAUAUUAUUAUAUUAUUAUAUUAUAUAUUAUAAUUAUUUAGUUAAAUAUAAUUAUAUUUAUAUAAUAUAUAUUAUAAAUUUAUUAAUAUUAUAUAAUAAUAUAUUUAUAAUAUAUAUGUAUAUUUAUAAAUGUAUGUUAUAUGUGCAAAUAAUUAUAAUAUAUACAUGUAUAUAAUAUUAAUAAAUUAUAUAAUUAUAUUUAUAUUUAUUAUUUUAAAUAUAAUAAUAUAUAAUAAAUUUACUAAUACAUUUAUACUAAUAUAUUUAAUUAGUGAAAAUUUCUUAUAUCUCAUUUACAAAUAGCCAAUGACUAUCAUUUACGAUACUGUUUAUAAUAUAUUUAUUAUAUUCCAUUCUGAAAGUGCCGACGAAUCAAACAUCAACUAUAGUAAUGAUAUAUAUUCUAGGUACUUGAACCAAACAGAUAUAUUGAAAUGAAUGAGCGCAUUCCAAAUCCAGGAUAUCCGAUUCCGAAUCCAAAUCUUAUUCCAAUGUGCGAAUCAAACGCCACCUAAAAAGUUUUUAAUUCUUUUCCUGAUAAUAAAUAUUGGAGAUUUUGAAUUCAAAUUUUCCUAUUUAUUUCGUGCUAUUUAAGUCCCACACUCCCACCUUCCUAUUCAAAAAAAUUUUUUUUUUACUUCUUAAAUUUCAUUUUUUUCGGUUGUAAAAUUUUAAACCCCAAAAAAAAAAACCUCCAUUUCAGUGAGGUUGAAUCAUUGGCUCGCUUUAGGCUACAUGACAAUUAGUGUGUUUGGAUUGUAAGUUAUUUGAAAUAUUUUUACUGUAGCACUUUUUGUGAUGUGAUGUAUGUGAGAUAAAAAGGUAAUUGGGAAGAUAAAAAGGUGUAUUGAAAAUUGUAAUGGUGAUGUCAGCAAAUAUAUUUGGCCAAAUAAUUGGCUGUCCAAACACACUCAAUGUUGUUAGAUGUGGCUGAAAUCCAUCUGAUCACCGCUCCGAUGGAUGAUAGGAAGAUGUAAAAUCUUUAGCAAUUUAUCAACGGUCAAGAUUACGCAUCUAUGAUACACGUGUAAGUCACUAGAGGGCGACCCUAAAAUUUGAUGCGGCAGGUUCAGUUACAAUUCUAUAAUCCUUUUCACGGGAAAAAAUCGUCUGCUCCUCGCACAUCAUAACCAUGUUUCGUCGACCACAAAACCUACUCUUUCACUGAUCGAGACGACGCCGUCGCCUGCCGUCUCUGUCGUCGCGAAAUUUGAUCGGAUAUCACCUGAAGUUCAUAGUCAGUUGUCUAGUGUAAAGAUCGUUACUUUCUCCCCUUUUCUCUUCUCUCACAAUCUCUAUUAGUUUAGGGUUUAAGUCUACAUAGUUUUUUACUUUUUUGGGUCAAAUAUGAAUUUUUUUCCGAGAUAAAAUGUUGUUAUUAGAGAAAGACUUAAUAUUUCUGUAUUAUUGUAUUAGAUUUUGAAAGCAGGGAACUGGUUUCAUGUAGCAUUUGGGAGUAAACAUUGAUUGAAGUGGAAAAGCUGAAAAUGGUAAUUUUUUUUUUUUGGCAAAUGAGACGUUACGUUUUACUCUGUUUUCCUGCUUGUUUAAUUAUUGUUUUAUGUGGGAUAAUUGCACGGAGGGUUAAAGAUUUUGCUCGUUUUGUACUUGGCUUGAUGUGCAGAUAAUGGGAUUUGAUUAGUUCAGUUGAUCGACGCCUUGGACUUAAAAAUGUGUUUCUUUAGACUUGACAACAUGUUUUGAACUAUGUCAUUUUAAUCAAGGGUAUUGGCAUUUUGGGGAGCCAUCAGCUGUAUUUACAAAUUUUAACCAGCUCAAGAGUUCAAAUGGACGAAGUACAUGAGUGUUUUAUGGCUUGUGUAUGUCUGUACGUAUUAUAGCGGUAAGAUGUGUGAGUUUGACUUUCAAUUUUUAGUUUCAUCCGUAAUUUACAUCUAGACAAGGUUUAGAUGACGUGCUUGUCAAGGAUAGAUGUUGAUUUGUGGUUGUUUUAGAAAAGUAAGCUACAUCUAGGAGGAAGUGAAUGUUUUGCUUGAGGAAUUGUCGUGUUUGAUGCUUGAAGAAUUAUAUUGAAUUAUGUCAGUUCAACGAACCAGUGAAGAGAAUAGAAACUGUGUUGCUGUGGGAAAUGUGACUAUAAGUCUUGCCAAGCUGCUGUUCAGUAGAUAAAGAACCUGUGAAGUUAUUACACCAUUUCUCGUUUAUUUUACUUUUGCACUGGUAAAAAACUAUCAUCUAAUCGUGCAUGAUAUCUUGUAUGUGCUUCGUAUGACCUUUCAGGCACUGUAGAUUUUCUUUACAACUGGUUUGUUUCUCGGAUAUCUGCUUAUCUGUUUUCAUUCUCCUGUAGUGGAAGUUUGGAAACUUACCUCUGGUACUCUCUUGGCUUAACUUGUCGCCUCCUCUCUCAUUCCCUAUCUACAGUCUAUGCGUUUACUCUUUAACACAAGUAGGCAGAAACCUAUGUAUGGAUUCUUUAACACGUUAGUUCAUGCAUCUAGCCGCAAGCAAGAUUUUAGUUUCUUAUGUAUUUCUUUUGCUCUAUUAUCUAUCUAUCUUGGUAUUCUCACAUAGGAUCUCCUGGUUAUUUGUUUUCUGUUUCUCAUUUACAGUCUUUCCAGGACAAGGGUUAUUGGAUGCCAAAGGGUGGCGGACACCUAGGUGAUGGAGAAACAGUUUUUAGUAACUCCUCUAGAAUUGAAGCGAAGCGCACUCAUCAGUGGUUGUCUGAUGCUGCUGAUCAUGAGGUUUUUUCCACUAAAAAGCAAGCUGUUCAUGUUCCAGUUAGCAAACAAAUUCCAGGAGUCCCCAUGACAAGUCUUGCUUGGGAGAAUGCUUCUGGAUUCCAAUCGGCACCAAACCAAUUCAUUGAUCGGUUAUUUGGUCCUGAUACAACCAGGUCGGCCAAUUUAUCAAGUCGAAACACCUCUCAACUCGAUGUGGAAAACUCCAAUAUGAGAAAAAAAGUCAUAGAUGACCAACUUGGGGGUGACACAUCAGUUGGUUUGUCAAUGUCUUAUCCUUUACAAGAUCCAGAAACUUGUGUCAGCUAUGGUGGAAUUAGAAAAGUUAAAGUCAAUCAGGUUAAGGACUCUGAAAUUGGUUUGCAGGCAGCACAGGAACACAAUAUUGGUGUGUCCUUGGAUCAGGCAUAUAACAGGGAUACUGAAACAGCUUUUGUGUCUAUGGCCCAAGCUUUUGGUAAGGAAGCUGAGAGUGUUACCUUGAUGGGUCAUUCUCAUAGUAGGGUGGAAGUGAAUAUGAAACCUCUGGACUCUACCUUUCCAAAAGGUGAUGAUAGUGCAAUGUCACUCAGCCACUCUUUCAGUAAGGGGGAUUCUAGUACAAUAUCCUUUGGUGGCUGUCAAGAUGAGCCGUAUAUGGAUGUUCUUGCUAGGCCUGUUAAUAGUAGCUAUGACUUGUUGUAUAAUCAGUCUUCCCUUCAAACAGCAGAAAUAAUUGAUGCAAGGGAUUUGGAAGCACCAAUUGCAGUUGCAAGUACCUCGCAAACGCCCAAAGGAAAGCCUGAUUCAGUCACCAAAAAUAAGUCAGAAAUGAAACCAACCAGAAAAGAAGCUCCGAAUAGUUUUCCUUCAAAUGUUAGAAGUUUGAUAGCAACUGGAAUGCUUGAUGGGGUGCCUGUAAGAUAUAUAUCUGUAUCACGAGAGGUAAAUCCUUGUUUUUUUAAUUUUGGUUUAUUGACAAUUAUACUGUUUGGUGGAUCAUUGGAAUCUUGCUGUAUGUAAUCAGGAGCUUCGUGGUACUAUAAAAGGUUCUGGGUAUCUUUGUGGUUGUCAGUCAUGUAACUACUCCAAGGUAAUUCAUCUGCUUAUUCUUAGUUUUUAUUCUCUUUUAUGCGAUCCAACCUCUGAAGCAUGUUUUUGGCUGAAGGCUCUUAAUGCUUAUGAAUUUGAGCGUCAUGCUGGUCAUAAGACAAAGCACCCAAACAAUCACAUAUACUUCGAGAAUGGAAAAACUAUAUAUCAGAUUGUCCAAGAGUUGAGGAACACCCCGGAGAGUUCGUUAUUUGAUGCCAUUCAGAAUGUGACUGGUUCCCCAAUUAAUCAAAAAGCCUUUCGCAUCUGGAAAGGUAGUAUCUUUCUAGUACUCUGUCUCUGUCCACACAUACACCCCCAACACCCCCCCAAGUGGGGCCGGGAACAUGUCAAUUGUUUUUUAAGCCAAUGAGGCCUGUUAUUCAUUUUUUUUUCCCUUCUGUGCCAGAAUCAUUCCAAGCAGCAACCCGUGAGCUUCAGCGCAUAUAUGGAAAGGAGGAACUUAAUCUAUGAUAAAGAAUGGCAACCCAACUGCUGCCCAUUUAAAAUGUGAAAUAGGAUAUCGUUUCUUGUGUGCAUAGAGGUAAAUACUUAGAUAUUUGGUGAAAUAGGGCUCGGGCUCAUUCUCGUUUUGCUGUAAUUUGCUGCUGCAGUUGGAAUGUCACAGUUUGUUAAUCUUCCAACAUGCGAUGUCGAAUGGAGGCAGUAUAACUGCCACAAUAUGUACAGUAUUCUGAAUAUUAUUUUUGGCAUAUUGAAGUCUCUCUUUCUAGAUUUGAUGGUUCUUGGGAAGUUCCUUUUUGUGUUGGUACCAAUCGUGGACUUUCUGAGUAGAAGGAAUCAAUUUCAAGGUUUCCAAAUUCUGCGAGGGGCUAGAGAAUUCACAAUUUGGUUUACCGCAUAUAUUCAUGUUACCGUACCUUCAUUGUUUUCCUAGGGCAUCCGCUUGGAAAAAUUUGUUCGGCAUAACUUCCACCAUUCCAUGGUCAUCUUCAUUUUAUUUGCUGACAUUAUUUUGCCCUAAACAAGAUAGUUUAAGGUUACUGGCUUCUUUUAUCAAAUAAUUGUAGAAGGUGCAUUUUUCUUUCAUUUUCAUACCAUCUUUUACAGAUCUGACAAGAGCAUAGAAAAGAACGACUCCACUGUUGAUCCUUUUAAGAAAAGAAAACCGCCAAGACCUCCCCUUAACUCAGAGAAUUAGAUCGCACCAUUUUGUAUGGGAUUGGCCAGAAUUGUUUUGACAAUUAGUUGACCUUCUACAAGUACCAGUCAUCAAACUUAUGCCUUAUCCAACACAUUCACUAUUGCAAAAAGGGUAACGGCCAGCCAUCUUUUUACUGCUAAUUUCUGAAGCUUACUGCAUUAACUAUGAAGGAAUAUGCAAUCCACAUCUGCACAAAUCUAUUUCACAAUUAAAGAAUAAACAACACUGAAAGGACAAAUUCAGAAGGGAUUACUGAUGAAACCAUUAGCGUCUGGCCACAAUAAGUGCAAGUUUCUCGAUCAGUAAGAGCCAAUCUUACACAAACUAAAAUAAGUCCUUUUAAAGAAUGACAAUUAAUUAAAUUACAUCCACCGACAAUGUUUCGUCACAAUUAGUUUUUGUUUUUGUUCUCUCCUGUCAUUGAGCACCUGAUGUAAGUGCUCAUUAGUAUUCUUCCAGUUCAAGAAC
RNAcentral lists this long non-coding RNA (20448 nucleotides) under Coffea arabica (coffee). Its description in RNAcentral is "long non-coding RNA (CARA_LNC000333)". Lineage: Eukaryota; Viridiplantae; Streptophyta; Magnoliopsida; Gentianales; Rubiaceae. The record is from RNAcentral.